This 252-nucleotide ribosomal RNA is filed under the name uncultured bacterium. RNAcentral's name for it is "partial 16S ribosomal RNA". It matches the Rfam family "Bacterial small subunit ribosomal RNA", at positions 524 to 776 of the family's 1533-position model. The record is from RNAcentral.
UACGUAUGGGGCAAGCGUUGUCCGGAAUUAUUGGGCGUAAAGGGUACGUAGGCGGAUAAGCAAGUUAGAAGUGAAAUCCUAUAGCUCAACUAUAGUAAGCUUUUAAAACUGCUCAUCUUGAGGUAUGGAGGGGAAAGUGGAAUUCCUAGUGUAGCGGUGAAAUGCGCAGAUAUUAGGAGGAAUACCAGUGGCGAAGGCGACGUGCUGGAAUCUAACUGACGCUGAGGUACGAAAGCGUGGGGAGCAAACAUG